RNAcentral lists this ribosomal RNA (167 nucleotides) under Peniophora incarnata. RNAcentral's name for it is "partial large subunit ribosomal RNA". It matches the Rfam family "Eukaryotic large subunit ribosomal RNA", at positions 99 to 261 of the family's 3401-position model. Lineage: Eukaryota; Fungi; Basidiomycota; Agaricomycetes; Russulales; Peniophoraceae. The record is from RNAcentral.
CGGGAUGAGCUCAAAUUUAAAAUCUGGCGUCUUCGGCGUCCGAGUUGUAAUUUAGAGAAGCGUUUUCCGCGCAGGACCGUGUACAAGUCUCCUGGAACGGAGCGUCAUAGAGGGUGAGAAUCCCGUCUUUGACACGGACCCCCUGUGCUCUGUGAUACGCUCUCGAA